Leopardus geoffroyi (Geoffroy's cat) is the source of this 4149-nucleotide long non-coding RNA. RefSeq lists it as uncharacterized. Lineage: Eukaryota; Metazoa; Chordata; Mammalia; Carnivora; Felidae. The record is from RefSeq and is a predicted model, not a curated record. The transcript is spliced from 2 exons.
CAGACCCUACUCUUGAGAUGCUCACAUCCUGGGGAGGGGAAGAGACAGUGCUAUGGACUGAAUGUUUGUGUCCCCCUUCCCUCCCAUUCAUAUGCUGAAGCCCUGAUUCUCAACGUGAUGCUCUUUGGAGAUGGGGCCUUUGGGAUAUAAUUAGGUCAUGAGGGUGGAAAUCUUCGUGACGGGAUUAACACCCUCAUGAGAAGAAAUAUGAAACAGCUUGCUUCUCUUCUUUCUCUUAGCCAUGUGAGGACACAGAAAGAUCACAGGAAGAGGGUUCUCAUCAGACACUGAACCUGCGGGCACCUUGACUGCGGACUUCCCAGCCUCCAGAACGAGUUUGGCUGUGAAGACUGCCAGAUAUAAAUGGGCAGUUAUUGGAAGAAGGUAUGCUGUCUAGAAAGGUUAUUUUAUCUUUAAAGUUGGUACACAUUUGGGACAUUUUGUCCUGGUAAGGAUGCUCCAUAGUGGCUCUCCAUAGCUAUUUGUUGAAUUAGCGUAGACAUAUUAAAAUAAAAUGAGGAAGUGACACACACACACACACACACACACACACACACACCCCAGAACUUCUCAGGAUAAAACAGCAGCGGGAGAAAAGCUGAUUAAAGCCCAUUUGGUUUCUCUGUCUCAAAUUAGCUCUCCGCAAUGGACCCAAACAUGACUUUGGGUCCUUAAGGCUCUGAAACUGAGUUAGGGAGAUACACUGGGUGAAGAAAGUGAUGUACCUGAGAUGGUGGAGAGUAACAAUAACCCUGAAGAAGAAGAUGAUGAUGGUGACGAGGGUGACAAUAGUAACUCGCAUUCGUUGAGCACUCACUGAGUGCCAACUUGUAGUGUCAUAACUUCACGUGGCUGAUUUCACCUGCUCCUCCAAGUAAGGCUUGUAAGGUGGGUGCUACUCUCAGUCUCUCUCCGGGUGAGGUUAUUGAGGCUUAGAUUUGGAAAGCGACUUGCUCAAGACUACAUAGCUAAUAAUAACUGGUGGAGUGAGAGUUCAAGCCCCACGGUGUGUAAUUCUAGAUCCUUUUACUCCUGUUUUGUGGGGGAUAUGGCGCUAGAGAGAACUGGCCAAAGAGGGCUUCCCUAGAAGUACUCAUUUUGCACAAGACUGAUAAAAGGAGACCCCACGAGGUGAGCAAGCUGAGCCCUGAGAAGCAGCUUUGGCAAAUUAACUUCCAUCUUCCCAGGCCAGCAACCUCUGAUUUAUUUAUUUAUUUGUUUUAUAGUAGAGGAACACAUACCACUUGGCAUUACUCUUCUUGACAGUGGGAGAUUACAUGCUGGACUUGACUGAGUUUCUGUCAGGGAGAAUUUAUUGCAAUUUCGAAGAUGGUUCUUAAAAGAGAUGGCUGUUUUGCAUUUUUUAUACAGGUCCUGCAAAUAUGUCAGGUUUGAUCUUCUACAAAAUCACCUUGUAUAAACUUCCUGCUUCUCUUCCUCCUCUCCUGACUCCCACCUUCCAUAGCCUGUGUGUGCAGCGGCUGUUAGCAAGCUUCCCCCCAGGCAGCCCAGCUUUCAGCGGCCUUGACCCACAUUUUGUAGAGCUCCUGCUUUAUCUCUGCAAAGUCAAAUCCCUACUGUCCUUAAAGCAUAACCUGGAAUCCUCCCUCUCCACAAAUCCUUGUCAAGUGCCUGGCUGGGGAUCCCCAAAUAGCUCUGAAGCCACAGUGACCUAUUCAUCAGUCACCCUAGGGAAAUGAAAGCCAAGAUGCACCGAUCGUGACACUACAACAGUAAAAAUGACAAGAGGUCCUGUUGGUUGAGAAGUUACUGCUUAUUAUGAGCCGGCAAACGGGCUAAGUGUUUUGCGUAUGUUGUCUGUGAUUUCAGACUAAUACCUCAUUUACCUUCAUGCCCAAAUUAUGACAGUUUGAGUCCCACCGAUACGAUCCCUAGGAGGCAGCUUUCCUCAAAAUGUCGCUGGCUGUAUCUGAGAGGCACAGGGUGGCUUGCAUGCUCAGGGGCGUGAGCCCUGGGUUCUUGGGCUCCGGGUUUCCUAUUGUGCUGCCAUGCUGCUGCCUUUGCUUCUAAUGGGGGAUGGGCUGGCCUGUCUUCUGGAAACGGUGGUUGUUAGUAGUUAUUACUCUUUCCACCACUGUGACCUCAGAGGAGCUUGGCAUUGUUCUUCCUUCUGCUACUCCCUCAGAAGCACAGGACAAACAACUGGGAUUGGCUGUGGAACAGGAUUGCACUGACGUUUCAGAGAUGGUGGAAGGGCUGUGCUUGGGGUGGUGGUGUUAGAACUCAGAACUCUUCUCAACUGGCUUAUUCUUUCCCUAGGGUGUCUCCUCAGGCCACCUCCCUUCCUUUCUGGUGGCCUGACCUCCACAUACCUGCCCCUUCGGCUAACUUCCCACUACCACAAAUACUCCAGUACAUUCGCACUUCAGGCUACAGGCCGAACCAAUCUUCACCUAGUCUGAGAUUCAUGCCUGGUCCUGUUUCUUCCGCCAGCAUCAGCAUUUUCUCAGUAUUACCGACAGCGAGGACCUCAGUGCAUAGUCUGGCCCAAUGGCCCCAAAGAGACAAUCCUAUGAGAGUCUAACAUCAGCACGUUGCUGAAAGACAUGGAAAAUAAUGUCAGAGCUGGUGGUGAUGGAACUCUCCCUUUCCUCUGCCUUCAUGCUUCCAUGUGGAGGGAGCUCCAUUAGAGUAUCACUCCUACUCUCUCACCCCAUUCCCUCUCCAAGAAUGGAGCAGUGACUUAUCUGAUUGGUGUGCUUGGGGAAGGAGCUCAGUCUGCUUCUCUCUGUCUUUGUAUGUUACUGCAUACUUGCAGAAAUGAAUAUUCAGGAACAAGUCUUCAUGGGAGAACCCUGAAGUUGGUCAGUCCAGCCACGGUCUGUGAGGUGAUGUUUGUCUAACUCAAGGGUACUAACAAUAAAAAUAAUGUUUUAGUUUCUACUUAUUUGAUUGCUAGGAUUUUCUAACAGUUGGUUUGUGAACUCAAAAGGGGAAACAGGUGUGGUACUUUUAGUUUCCUAACCGAAGCCUACAUGUUGGAGAACCACCAGUAGCCCAAGGUUGGUGGAUUCCACGUUGGUGGAAUUGUAUCCAUUGUGUCAGUCAUUCCUCACAGGUGUGGAGGAGAGCUAAGUAGAUUCCUGUGCUAAGAAAAUAGAGUACCUUAACUUAGAAGGCCUUCAAUGAUGCUUCUGUAGCAUUUAAGCAAAAUAAAUUGUCUCCAUUCCACAGCAUGGACCAAAGCUAUGUCGGGGUGACAUAUAGCUUUCCUAUUACACACAAUGAGUCAUCUCUACCCUCUACCUAGAGCCCCUUAAUGGAUCAUCAUCUCUUACAUUGGGGGUCAUGAAGGCCUGAGUUGUGUGGUCCCUGUAGCAACUAUUCAAAUUUGCUAUUCUUGUGCAAGAGCAGCCAUAGACAAUAUAUAAACGAGUGGAUGUGGUUGUGUUCCAAUAAAACUUUAUUUACAAAAUAAGCAGAAAGUCAGAUUUGGCUCCCAGCUAUAGUAUGUCAACGCCUGUUGUACAUAACUAGAUUGGAACAUCUCAGUUUAACAUUCAAAGCCCAACGUAACCCUUUAGCUUCAUAUACUGCCACUGCUAAUGUUUUGCCUUCCCUAAUCCCCCAUUUAGAAUCUAGAGAUACCCUCAAUUGAUUGUAAAACCCUAUCGGCCAUCCCCAGCCUUCUGUCUCUCUCACACACACACGUGCAUGCACAUGCACACUCAUAUACACACUCUGCUGUCUCAUGAUUUUGUGAUUUGACUCACCAUUUCCUCUGCCUGAAAGGACUUUCUACCCUCUUCACCUGGCCACAUUCUAGUUAUUCUUCAGGACUCAAUUCUAAGAUGACUCCUUCCUCUGGAAGCCUUCUCUGAAUCACCCGUGGCUGGGUUGGGUAACUGUCUUCUUUACUUCCAUAUAUUUAAUGAAUGGAGACAUUUUCCAUCUCUGAGUCUGUCUUCCCUAGCCAUCCACAGAGCUCCUGGGGCUGAGGACUCAGUCUCAUGAUCUCAGCAGGCCUGGGGCAUCUCAUAGUAUCCAGCAUGGAUCAGCUGCUGAAUUUGUGCAGAACUGAAGCAGUGAAGCCAGAGCGAUCCAGAGAAAAAGGGACAGGGUAUUAUGCACAUGUUAUAAAUGGGAAGUUCAGGGGUAGGCUGAACUGACAAGGUUAUAAACACUUGA